Molecule: non-coding RNA, 24 nt
Filed under: Arabidopsis thaliana (thale cress)
Lineage: Eukaryota; Viridiplantae; Streptophyta; Magnoliopsida; Brassicales; Brassicaceae
Source: RNAcentral
AGUCCCAACAAAUACCUUUAAAGA